This 1884-nucleotide long non-coding RNA is filed under the name Hordeum vulgare. Its description in RNAcentral is "long non-coding RNA (HVUL_LNC021518)". Lineage: Eukaryota; Viridiplantae; Streptophyta; Magnoliopsida; Poales; Poaceae. The record is from RNAcentral.
AUGGGCAUUCGCGGGCGUAUGUUCCGUUCUUCCGGCCGGUCGAUCCAUUAGCUAGCCAGCCUUGUUCGGUGCGUCCUGGAUGGAUUAGUCAAUGUGCUUAAAUCCUUGUACUUGUGUCCCACUGUAAAAAGAAUCACUUUAGGCUGUGGGGAAAAUAAUAUGCGUUUGUCUUCGUGGCGGAAGAAGUACUGGGAGCAACCUACGACCGUGACCUGUGCGGCUGUGCCAACUUAUUUUAUACUAUACUAAUUACUCGCAUUUUUGUAGAAACAUAUUAAACUACAAACUACACAAAAAUCUCCUCAAUCCAAUCAAGCAUAUAUCCGCUGAGAACAAAUAAAUUAUGAACCGAUACAGAAACUGCAUGCUGGUGCCUUACCCUGAUCAAUCAUGUUUGAUCACCAAGCCUUUUAUGCUUCUACAGCCACAUCUAAGCUCCAUUGUCAAUCAUCAACAUGAACCGGCAUUUCUCUCACGGACUUAACCACGUUGAUGCACAUCGAAAGUCUACCAAUAAGAACGCCAUCUGUGGAGCCUUUUAUUCUUCCAUGGCCACAUCUAAGCUCCGUUGACAAUCAUCAGCAUGAACCGGCAUUUCUCUAAUGGACUUAACCACGUUGCUGCACAUAGAAAGUGUACCAAUAAGAACGCCGGCCGGCCAACCGACGACCAUUAACAGAUAUAUCGAUCUGAAGAAAAGAAAUAUCACAAAGGAUAAUCGUCUUUUCUAUAACACCUAGAGAUAAAGGUACUAAUAUCAAUUAUUAGAUACAUAAUAUUUAGAGAUACAGACCAUCAAUGUAUUAAUCCUAGCUCAAGGAGACGGAACUGAAGUAUUGUAACGAAUGUGUGAAAUGAAAUUUUACCUAGCUGGCGGAUCAGGUUUAAACACUGUACACAUUUUUUGCAUGUAUCCAUAACAUACAUGAUGUAUAUGCUAUGGCAUGGAUCUGAGCAUGUCAUCUGCAAUUAAUGCAGGUUCCUGGAUGCCACACAUAGAGCUGCAGGCGCUGGGGUUACUCUAUUUCUCGAGCAUCUCUUGUGUUUGUGUGACGGCUUCCCAUGCUCCGGUGGGAGAUGUGUCAUGGGAAACCCAGGGCCAGGUCUAGAGGGUUGGACACCUUGUGCUUCCCGGAGAAAUCAAAUAUAGCCAAGAUGGCAAGAUAUAUAUCUAUAAGUACACCUGUCGGGCAUAGUUGUGCUCCGAACCCAUCUCUUUGAGGCACCCACAAAUUGUACGUGAGAAGAAUUAGGGUGAAAUCCAAAUCCUGAUAAGGAUGAAUUCUAGCACACCACGAUCAAAAGUGAGACAAUUGUUUUUAAUCCGAAUCCAAAUUAUAAAAUAGGAUGGUAAAACAGCAAGAAAAAGAUUCAACAAAAAAUAGUUUUAGGAGGAACCUGAUCUAGAUCACGAAAACAAUUCUAAAGCAGUAAGCCUCUUUACCACCCGAGAUCCAUGGCCCCUCUUGGUUUUCUUAGAUCUAUGCCCACAUUUGCUUUGCAUUAGUUUGAGAGAGAUAAUGGCUUUGAUUUUGUUGCGGGAGAGACAUUAGGGAGAACAAACGACCGUGAAAUAGUUCCAUGAGGAGAGAGAGAGAGAUAAUGGAGAGGAAGGGACGGUGGGCUAGAUAUUAGUUCCAUGGGGGAAAGAGAGAGAUAAUGGAGAAGACGGGAAGUUGGGCUGUAUAUUUGUAUUUCCACAGGGGAGAGAUAGAUGGAUGGAAUACUUUCCAUCGUGGGGAGAGGAAAAAAGAGCAAGGAAGAUUAGGGUGAAAGGAUUCCUAUGGGUUAAUCUCCACCUCACUAAUUCGGCCCAUCAAAUAAACCUUCCGGUUAAUCACCACCGUAAUAAUUCGGCCCCACCAAAUAAACAGCUAUUAAUUU